RNAcentral lists this ribosomal RNA (507 nucleotides) under Triticum aestivum (bread wheat). RNAcentral describes it as "partial small subunit ribosomal RNA". Lineage: Eukaryota; Viridiplantae; Streptophyta; Magnoliopsida; Poales; Poaceae. The record is from RNAcentral.
AUGCCAGAUCCUAAUAGAGCAUACGCUCUGCAAUGCAUUUUCUAUGACAAGAUAUUAACUAGCGGCGUAACCAGGGUAAAGUAUCACCUUGCUGGCAUUAAGAAGUGCAAUGCUACACCAUGCUAGAAGGUUCCUCAGGAUGUGAAGGAGGAGAUGAAGGUUUUGCUCCUAAAGAGUAAUGAUGCGAAGGAUAAGAAAAUCACAGAAUUGGAAAAGAUAAGAAGUUCAGUUAACAUAGAUCACUCGGAGGGAGAAGAGGAGAGUGAUGACGACAGUGACAAUGAUAUUGUGUUGUCAACACAAAGCAGAAGCAGAUCCCAAGGUGGCCCUAUGGACAAGUUCUGCAUGUCAAGUGUAGAAGAAUGUGUCAAGAGGAAUCAAGGCAAACUCUCAGCGAAAAGGUUCAAUCAAAGCUGUCAUCUUAGAAGACAGAAGAGAGGAGGAAUAGAGCUUGUGGGUACAUCUGUCAGUUUUUCUAUGAAGCUGGCAUUCCACACAACACUAUGA